AUGAACUGUGUUUCUGCAUAUAAUUGACCUCCUUUUUUCCAAGCAUGACGCUUUUCUGAUUUUGUUGGAGUGGAAGUUAUACUUUCUGUUAGAAAAUAACUAAAAAAACCAAUGAAUUCUAGUCAUGAAGACAGCUGAAGUCCAGCACUGGGACUACAAUUUACUCUUUUAACUUUGAUUUUUUAUGGAUGAAAAUUACAGGAAGGACAGGGACGACAGGAUCGG
RNAcentral lists this unclassified non-coding RNA (225 nucleotides) under Hevea brasiliensis (rubber tree). Lineage: Eukaryota; Viridiplantae; Streptophyta; Magnoliopsida; Malpighiales; Euphorbiaceae. The record is from RNAcentral.